AGCGCCGCUGCCUGCCACUGUCGAUAGGUAAACCCUAGUUCACCACUGCCGCUUCAGACGCAUCUUCUGCCUCCACUUGCCGAUCCUAGACAGACGAAUGGGAACUGAAGAAUGCGUGUUAAUCAGUCUUGAUAGCAUGGUGAUUGUUCAUAGGAAUGUAUCACCAUGCCAAAGAUGAGAUCUGCAAACGUGAUGCAGGUUUGUAAGUUCACAACAGCAGCGCCUUGUUGAGAAUAAGGAGCUAUGUGGAGGAGGUGCUGUUUUUCGGUUGGUUCAAAACACCUUGAAGCUGCCACAACACGAUGAUCCAAAACUUGCAAGUGUGGUUAAUAGGCUUAAAUCAAAAGUUUUAUGUGGAGAAGCUAAAUGGGAAUGGAUUUAAGCUUUCUGAACCUUGUGAUGAUUGAUUAAGAUUUGAAUAUUAGUUUUAUUGAUAAUUCAGAGAGUUGGUUGUGAUGAUUGAUUAAGAUUUGAAGAUUAGUUUUAAUGACAUUCAGAGAGUUGGUUGUGAUGAUUGAUUAAGAUUUGACACCCUUUUAUAAUUUUAUGUGUAUCUUGUAAUUGAUUCCUAUAAUAGAUGUAACAUUUAAAUAGUUAUUCAAGGUUUAACAUUUGCU
This is a long non-coding RNA of Helianthus annuus (common sunflower), 617 nucleotides long. RefSeq lists it as uncharacterized. The transcript has 4 exons. The record is from RefSeq and is a predicted model, not a curated record. Lineage: Eukaryota; Viridiplantae; Streptophyta; Magnoliopsida; Asterales; Asteraceae.